AUCGCUUCUCGGCCUUUUGGCUAAGAUCAAGUGUAGUAUCUGUUCUUAUCAGUUUAAUAAAUGGGAUCGUGUUGUACAUACAGUGUAUAAUUUGGUUUUUAUGCUUAAUAGUAAAUACUAUUC
This 123-nucleotide small nuclear RNA is filed under the name Myotis davidii. RNAcentral describes it as "U2 spliceosomal RNA". It matches the Rfam family "U2 spliceosomal RNA". From Rfam's summary of the family: U2 is a small nuclear RNA (snRNA) component of the spliceosome (involved in pre-mRNA splicing). Complementary binding between U2 snRNA (in an area lying towards the 5' end but 3' to hairpin I) and the branchpoint sequence (BPS) of the intron results the bulging out of an unpaired adenosine, on the BPS, which initiates a nucleophilic attack at the intronic 5' splice site, thus starting the first of two transesterification reactions that mediate splicing. The record is from Rfam by way of RNAcentral. Lineage: Eukaryota; Metazoa; Chordata; Mammalia; Chiroptera; Vespertilionidae.